AUUGAACGCUGGCGGCAGGCCUAAUACAUGCAAGUCGAACGAGUGGCGGACGUGUGAGAAAUUCAUGGGAAUCCACCUUUUGGAGGGGGAUAACAACGGGAAACAGAAGCUAAUCCCGUGUACCAUAGGAUGAGUCCAAUUGGGAUUAGGUAGUUGGUGAGGUAAAGGUCCACCAACCGACGAGCUCUAGCUGGUGUGAGAGGUUGACCGGCCACACUGGGACUGAGACACGGCCCAGACUCCUACGGGAGGCAGCAGUGGGGAAUCUUGCACAAUGGGGGCAACCCUGACGCAGCCAUGCCGCGUGAGUGAAGAAGGCUUUCGGGUUGUAAAGUUAUUUCGUUGGCGAGGCGUUAACUACAGAAGAAGCACCGGCUAACUACGUGCCAGCAGCCGCGGUAAUAC
RNAcentral lists this ribosomal RNA (405 nucleotides) under uncultured bacterium. RNAcentral's name for it is "partial 16S ribosomal RNA". It matches the Rfam family "Bacterial small subunit ribosomal RNA", at positions 30 to 526 of the family's 1533-position model. The record is from RNAcentral.